This 252-nucleotide ribosomal RNA is filed under the name uncultured bacterium. Its description in RNAcentral is "partial 16S ribosomal RNA". It matches the Rfam family "Bacterial small subunit ribosomal RNA", at positions 524 to 776 of the family's 1533-position model. The record is from RNAcentral.
UACGAAGGGGGCUAGCGUUGUUCGGAUUUACUGGGCGUAAAGGGUGCGUAGGCGGUCGGGUAAGUCUGAUGUGAAAUCUCACAGCUUAACUGUGAAACUGCAUUGGAUACUAUUCGGCUUGAGAGUUGGAGGGGGGACUGGAAUUCUUGGUGUAGCAGUGAAAUGCGUAGAUAUCGGAAGGAACACCAGUGGCGAAAGCGGCUUCCUGGUCCAGCACCGACGUCAGGCACGAAAGCGUGGGGAGCAAACAGG